RNAcentral lists this ribosomal RNA (501 nucleotides) under uncultured bacterium. Its description in RNAcentral is "bacterial SSU rRNA". It matches the Rfam family "Bacterial small subunit ribosomal RNA", at positions 28 to 518 of the family's 1533-position model. The record is from RNAcentral.
GACGAACGCUGGCGGCGUGGAUUAGGCAUGCAAGUCGAACGGUAGGAUACCUUCGGGUAUCUGAGAGUGGCGAACGGGUGAGUAACACGUAGGUGAUCUACCCUCAAGAUUGGGACAACCCAGGGAAACUUGGGCUAAUACCGGAUGAAAGCAGCAGUGAUGUUGUUUGAAAGGUGGCGUAAGCUGCCGUUUGGGGAUGAGCCUGCGCUCUAUUAGUUAGUUGGCGGGGUAAAGGCCCACCAAGGCGAUGAUAGAUAGGCGGCCUUAACGGGUGGUCGCCCACACUGGGAUUGAGAUACGGCCCAGACUCCUACGGGAGGCAGCAGUCGAGAAUAGUCUACAAUGGCCGAAAAGGCUGAUAGUGCGACGCCGCGUGAACGAAGAAGCCCUUGGGUCGUAAAGUUCUUUUAUAUGUGAGCAGUGUUCUUAUAUUAACAGUAUGGGAGAGAGAUAUUAGCAUAAUGAAUAAGCAAACGGCUAAACUCCGUGCCCAGCAGACCC